Molecule: long non-coding RNA, 484 nt
Filed under: Daphnia pulicaria
Lineage: Eukaryota; Metazoa; Arthropoda; Branchiopoda; Diplostraca; Daphniidae
Description: uncharacterized LOC124314321
Source: RNAcentral
AUUGUUGGGGUGUUACUAAAACGCGAAGCGAAACGGCGGAACGCGAAACUCCUAAAACGCGAAACAGUGGUGCGAAACGGUCCCAAAAAUUUUCGGGACCGUUUCGCAGUUUAGGCGCUAGAGGUCUUACUAAAAUGCGAAACCGUAGACGCGAAACAGUCGACGUCAGUCGUCAGUGUAUUGUUAAAAGUAGUCGUCAAAGUGUCGAACUAGAAGCUAAUAAAAAAUUGAAACCUUCUAGGUUAUCACUUCUCAGCUUACAGUAAGGGCACACUGCCAAUGUGUGUAGUUGCAUGUAGAGGUCAUUCAUGGUCCUGUUAAAACACAAAGAUGCCCUUAGGCCAUUGGACCCGCGAAACGGUCCCCAAUUGUUGGGACCGUUUCGCACCACUGUUUCGCGUUUUAGGAGUUUCGCGUUCCGCCGUUUCGCUUCGCGUUUUAGUAACACCCCGAUUGUUGCACAGUUUACCGUCGGUCAACGUAA